RNAcentral lists this transfer RNA (76 nucleotides) under Cordylochernes scorpioides. Its description in RNAcentral is "tRNA-Gly". The record is from RNAcentral. Lineage: Eukaryota; Metazoa; Arthropoda; Arachnida; Pseudoscorpiones; Chernetidae.
UGCAUCGGCCGGUGCACCCGGUGAACCCGGGCCGCCUGCGUGGCAGGCGAGCAUUCUACCACUGAACAUCCGAUGC